RNAcentral lists this long non-coding RNA (976 nucleotides) under Homo sapiens (human). Its description in RNAcentral is "non-protein coding lnc-AARS2-4:2". Lineage: Eukaryota; Metazoa; Chordata; Mammalia; Primates; Hominidae. The record is from RNAcentral.
AAGCUGCUAGAGGGAGCGGCGGGCAGCGGACGGCGGGAAAAGGAGACUUACCUCGGUAUUCCUCCAUACGCCCCCCUUGAUCAUAAUUCGAGGCAUCUUGGCGGCAGGGUGUCUCGGCAAGCAGCCGAGAGGAGCUUCAGAGAAGUAGUAACAGCGAUUGGGCCACCGGACUCAAAGCCGCCACUUCCUCCAAGCGCGACCUUCUGCUUUGAAGAUCUGCGCAAGCGCAAGGUGGGAGGGGGCGCAGAAUAGCAAGUCUCGCGAGAUAUUGGGUGGCUGAAAGGGAAAAAGUGUCUUGUGGAAGCUCAGCUGCAGGAAGACUAACACAAAACCAUCAAACCACUCUGGCCAAAGCGCCUUACGCCCCGCGCAUGUCCAAAACAGAAUGGAAGAAACUACGGCUCUCGCGAGAUAGCGGCGGUAGCGCUUGGCUGGGAACUUAGUGGUGGGAUUGAUCGUGACGUCACCGAGUGGCAGAGGGUGGGAACGUCACGCGUACGGAAUUUCAGCACAGUUGCUCCGAAGAAGGCUUUGUUAAUUUAUUAAUCUAGCCCUUUCAAGUAUUUCAGUAAUAGGAAUUUAUUCACAGAAUACUCAGGAAAAUCCAGUAGUUUAUUUAAGGCUCAGUUUCCUAACCUGUAAAAUAGAGAUCAUAGUAAUGCCAACCUCACAGGAUUGUCGUAAGGGCUAAAUGAGAUCAUAGACCCAGCACAGUAUCUGAUCCAUAAUAACUGCUGCAAAACAAUAGCAGCUAUUACUGCAAGGAGGGCAACGCCAACUUCACCCCGUCCCCAGGUGAUCCAGGCUUCUUCCAGAAACCUGCAGAAACGUCACGUCAGAGUUUUUAAUUCAUCGCCCAGUCUGGAUUAAUAAUGCCAUUGGUACGCACUGGUAUUAGACAAAGUCGAGUUGGGUUGAAAUAUUGUGAAAUCUUGGCUUUCUCAUAAGUUUGGGUAAUAACCUUACUGAAUCUCAG